CUGUUGGGUAGGGGAGCGUUGUGUAAGCGGAAGAAGGUUCAUCGAGAGGUGGGCUGGACGUAUCACAAGUGCGAAUGCUGACAUAAGUAACGAUAAAACGGGUGAAAAACCCGUUCGCCGGAAGACCAAGGGUUCCUGUCCAACGUUAAUCGGGGCAGGGUGAGUCGGCUCCUAAGGCGAGGCUGAAAAGCGUAGUCGAUGGGAAACAGGUUAAUAUUCCUGUACUUGGUAAAGCUGCGAUGUGGGGACGGAGUAGGUUAGGUUAUCGCACUGUUGGAUAUGUGCGUUUAAGUUGGUAGGUGGGAAGUUUAGGCAAAUCCGGACUUCCUUAACACAGAGAGAUGAUGACGAGGCUCUACGGAGCUGAAGUAACUGAUACCACACUUCCAGGAAAAGCCACUAAGCGAAAGGCUUUACUAAACCGUACUGAAAACCGACACAGGUGGUCAGGUAGAGAAUACUCAGGCGCUUGAGAGAACUCGGGUGAAGGAACUAGGCAAAAUAGCACCGUAACUUCGGGAGAAGGUGCGCCGGCGUAGAUUGUAAGGGCUAGCCCCUGAAGGUUGAACCGGUCGAAGAUACCAGCUGGCUGCAACUGUUUAUUAAAAACACAGCACUCUGCAAACACGAAAGUGGAGGUAUAGGGUGUGAUGCCUGCCCGGUGCUGGAAGGUUAAUUGAUGGUGUAAUCGCAAGAGAAGCACCUGAUCGAAGCCCCAGUAAACGGCGGCCGUAACUAUAACGGUCCUAAGGUAGCGAAAUUCCUUGUCGGGUAAGUUCCGACCUGCACGAAUGGCAUAAUGAUGGCCAGGCUGUCUCCACCCGAGACUCAGUGAAAUUGAAAUCGCCGUGAAGAUGCGGUGUACCCGCGGCUAGACGGAAAGACCCCGUGAACCUUUACUAUAGCUUGACACUGAACAUUGAAUUUUGAUGUGUAGGAUAGGUGGGAGACUUAGAAGUAGUCACGCCAGUGAUUAUGGAGUCGACCUUGAAAUACCACCCUUUAACGUUUGAUGUUCUAACGAAGAUGACGAAACGUGGUCUCGGACAGUGUCUGGUGGGUAGUUUGACUGGGGCGGUCUCCUCCCAAAGCGUAACGGAGGAGCACGAAGGUUUGCUAAUCACGGUCGGACAUCGUGAGGUUAGUGCAAUGGUAUAAGCAAGCUUAACUGCGAGACAGACAAGUCGAGCAGGUACGAAAGUAGGUCAUAGUGAUCCGGUGGUUCUGAAUGGAAGGGCCAUCGCUCAACGGAUAAAAGGUACUCCGGGGAUAACAGGCUGAUACCGCCCAAGAGUUCAUAUCGACGGCGGUGUUUGGCACCUCGAUGUCGGCUCAUCACAUCCUGGGGCUGAAGUAGGUCCCAAGGGUAUGGCUGUUCGCCAUUUAAAGUGGUACGCGAGCUGGGUUUAGAACGUCGUGAGACAGUUCGGUCCCUAUCUGCCGUGGGCGUAGGAUGAUUGAUUGGGGCUGCUCCUAGUACGAGAGGACCGGAGUGGACGCAUCACUGGUGUUCCGGUUGUGUCGCCAGACGCAUUGCCGGGUAGCUAAAUGCGGAAGAGAUAAGUGCUGAAAGCAUCUAAGCACGAAACUUGCCAAGAGAUGAGUCAUCCCUGACUUUAAGUCAGUAAGGGUUGUUGUAGACUACGACGUAGAUAGGUUGGGUGUGUAAGUGAUGUGAGUCAUUGAGCUAACCAAUACUAAUUGCCCGAGAGGCUUAACUAU
Molecule: ribosomal RNA, 1722 nt
Filed under: Haemophilus influenzae PittGG
Lineage: Bacteria; Pseudomonadati; Pseudomonadota; Gammaproteobacteria; Pasteurellales; Pasteurellaceae
Description: bacterial LSU rRNA
Rfam family: Bacterial large subunit ribosomal RNA
Source: RNAcentral